AAUCAUGCUGGCAACGGGGUUGCUAUAGAAACUUCACAUAUAGGCUGGAGUUUGUCACCAGAGAAAAAGCAGGAGAGAGAGAGAGAGGUGGCUGUGUUGAAUGCUCACAGGAGAGGCAUCAAAGGCUUAGCUGGAGAAACCGGAGAGGAGGGCUGUUUUCACCCUGCAGCACAGUCUAUCAUAAAUAUUAAGCGGCGCCCUCCUCCACAGCGCCGGCUCCAUCGUUGCCCUUUUAAUGAGGUGAUAUCCAGACACACGGGAGCAGAUGUUGCAAGGAAAACACACUGUGACGUGAUUGUGAUCGAUGCGCGCCUCCCACCGCAUCCACUGCAUAAUUCGGUGGAUGGCAUCAGGAUAACAACCUGCAUUAUGUGGAGACAGCUGUCGCCACAGAGCCCGGGCAGCCACGGUAUUGGCUCCCGCCUUAUUUCAGGCAGAGGCGGGAAGCCAAUUAGAGUGAUUUACAGCUUGCUUGUGUCGUCAACACCUUGAAACUUGUGUUCCAGUCCAGACAAAUAAAAUGCUUGGCUACCUGGAUCAAAAUGGGGGUGUCAGGCAGCAGGUUUAUUUAUUGGCUAAAUUUAAUGUAAUUUUGCUCCAGGCAGAAGCUAAUGUGAACAUAUUCUUUAAGUGAAGCAAAGGGGGUCAAGUAAAUAAUAUCAGCCUUCAUUAAAUUGAAUUUACAGAACUUUAGAUGCGUCCCUUUGUUUCUGAUUGUUGCUCGUGCAGCUUUUCUGUAAUAAUCUAUCAUAAUUAUGAUUUUUUUAAAUAUAAAUUUGCUAACUUCAAAGAUGUAAAUGAGUGGAGGCAGCAGGGUUGUGUGGUGAUGGGAUGGAAAACGAGAGCUCUCUCUAGUCAGAAUUACAGACGUUUGCAGCUGAAUGUGGCGUAGCGUCGAGCCUCGUGGGCUUUGCUGCUGCACCUGGAGCCAGAGCUGUUAGUUAGCAGGUGGGAACUGAUAGACUGAACUUGCUAAUUAUUCACACAAUAGUGCUUAUUAAUGUUACAGCGAUCUUUUAAUGAUUCAGCAGUGAGGAACCAUGAGAAACACGAUUUCCCCCAAACUCAGGAUGCUGUGAAAAAAAAAAAGAAAAAAAAAGGGGGCAAUAAGAAAUUACAAGAAAGCUUCUAAGAGAGCCCAGGCUGUGUUGAAGAAUAAAGGUGAUCAUAGCAAAUAUUGUCUUUCAUGCUGGUUAGAAUUGUUUUUACCUCAUAUGCUGCGUUUACAUUUAUAUAUGAAGAAAUCCAGGGCUGGCUCAAAACUCACAGUAUUGUGUCUUGGUGAGGAGUGCAGUCAAUUUUAAAAGCACCGUAUUUCACCUUUUAAAUGAAUUCUUCAUUCUUUUACCGUCAGCUAAGCCUGUGGCAUAAACAAACCAGUCUCAGUGAAUGACAUCACUGAGAGCCACGAGCUGGAACCGCUCCUGUCCGGUAGGUGGCGAUAAUGCCACAUAUAAGACGCAAAGAAGAAGCCGUCGCUCGCUUAUGACGUAUAUUUAACAGGACCUUUAGCUUCGGUGAUUGUAGCGAUUUUCAGUGCAGGA
RNAcentral lists this long non-coding RNA (1544 nucleotides) under Oreochromis niloticus (Nile tilapia). RNAcentral describes it as "lncRNA (ENSONIG00000042257.1)". Lineage: Eukaryota; Metazoa; Chordata; Actinopteri; Cichliformes; Cichlidae. The record is from RNAcentral.